This 231-nucleotide unclassified non-coding RNA is filed under the name plant metagenome. RNAcentral's name for it is "partial contains small subunit ribosomal RNA, internal transcribed spacer 1, and 5.8S ribosomal RNA". The record is from RNAcentral.
UCUCCGUUGGUGAACCAGCGGAGGGAUCAUUACAGAGUUGCAAAACUCCCAAACCAUUGUGAACGUUACCUAUCCCGUUGCUUCGGCAGGCGGCCUGGGCCCCGCGCCCGGCGCCCCCCGGCCCCCCGUGGGCGCCCGCCGGAGGUAAACCAAACCCUUGAAUUGCAUGGCCUCUCUGAGUCUUCUGUACUGAAUAAGUCAAAACUUUCAACAACGGAUCUCUUGGUUCUG